CGGUGUAGCAAUACACAGUGGCGAACGGCGGAGUAAUACAUAAGGAACGUGCCCUGAAGACCGGGAUAGUCAUUGGAAACGAUGGGUAAUACCGGAUGUGGCCACUCUUCGGCAUCGGAGAGUGAUUAAAUGGUUUUUCGCUUCAGGAGCGUCUUAUGGCCUAUCAGGUAGUUGGUGGGGUAAUGGCCUACCAAGCCGACGACGGGUAGCGGGUCUGAGAGGAUGAUCCGCUCGAGUGGGACUGAGACACGGCCCACACACCUACGGGUGGCAGCAGUUGGGAAUCUUGCACAAUGGGGGAAACCCUGAUGCAGCGACGCCGCGUGGAGGAUGACGGGUCUAGGCCUGUAAACUCCUUUUAACGGGAAAGACUUAGGACGGUACCCGUUGAAUAAGGACCGGCUAACUACGUGCCAGCAGCCGCGGUAAGACGUAGGGUCCAA
Molecule: ribosomal RNA, 443 nt
Filed under: uncultured bacterium
Lineage: Bacteria
Description: bacterial SSU rRNA
Rfam family: Bacterial small subunit ribosomal RNA
Source: RNAcentral